ACUCAAAUGAAUUGACGGGGGCCCGCACAAGCAGCGGAGCAUGUGGUUUAAUUCGAAGCAACGCGAAGAACCUUACCAGGUCUUGACAUCCAGGUAAAGCCGCAGAGAUGCGGUGUGUGCUUGCACGAUCUGAGACAGGUGGUGCAUGGUUGUCGUCAGCUCGUGUCGUGAGAUGUUGGGUUAAGUCCCGCAACGAGCGCAACCCUUGCCGAUAGUUACUAACGGGUAGAGCCGAGGACUUUAUCGGGACCGCCGGGGACAACUCGGAGGAAGGUGGGGACGACGUCAAAUCAUCAUGCCCCUUAUGACCUGGGCUACACACGUGCUACAAUGGCCGAGACAGAGAGAUGCGAAGGCGCGAGCCGGAGCGGACCUCAGAAAAGCGGUCACAGUUCGGAUUGCGGGCUGCAACCCGCCCGCAUGAAGCAGGAGUUGCUAGUAAUCGCGAAUCAGCAUGUCGCGGUGAAUACGUUCCCGGGCCUUGCACACACCGCCCGU
Molecule: ribosomal RNA, 498 nt
Filed under: uncultured bacterium
Lineage: Bacteria
Description: bacterial SSU rRNA
Rfam family: Bacterial small subunit ribosomal RNA
Source: RNAcentral